Molecule: ribosomal RNA, 253 nt
Filed under: uncultured prokaryote
Description: partial 16S ribosomal RNA
Rfam family: Bacterial small subunit ribosomal RNA
Source: RNAcentral
AACGUAGGAGACAAACGUUAUCCGGAGUUACUGGGCGUAAAGGGCGUGCAGGCGGUCUGUUAAGUCUGGCGUGAAAGCUCCCGGCUAAACCGGGAGAGGUCGUUGGAGACUGGCAGACUUGAGGACGGUAGAGGCGAGUGGAAUUCCGGGUGUAGUGGUGAAAUGCGUAGAGAUCCGGAGGAACACCAGUGGCGAAGGCGACUCGCUGGGCCGUACCUGACGCUAAGACGCGACAGCAUGGGGAGCGAACAGG